ACUCUACUUUAUUCAGGCAAAAUGCCAAAGAAAUUAUUAUUAAUUGCGGACAAAACUAAAAUAGUUUAUGAACAUUAACAAAAACUUUACAAAUUCAUUAUUCUGUCUAUUUCUCUUGAGAAUCUUGCACGUUGUCAGACUCACGCCAGACUCUGUUCUUAGAUUUAUUUCUGUCCCGCCUUGAGUCCACAGGUUCUUUAUACAAAUUUUUUUUUCUUUAGACAACAACUGAAUUCUAACAUGCUGGUUUAGACUCCUUUGGGAGCUUAUAGGAUCUGAAAGGUGUUCAUAAUGGGUGGGGAGAACCGGAGUGCUCAUCCAGUGGUUUGCAGCUGCUUGUGACUUCAUUUGCAUAGCACCAACAGUUGAUCAUAGUCAACCAGAGAUGCCAUCUCUGCAUGCCAGUUAAUUUACAGCAUUGUUGAGAAGUAGUGGCCCAAACAACUCAUCAGGAAACCGCUCCCCCUCCCAUUUGUUCUUUCACCAGACCUGAAAAAGUGCUGUUGAUCUUUCAGAAAUGACAAAGCAGGGAGCUGUAAAAGGUGAGGCUAGAGCUGCUUUGUCGAGUUAUUGUGCCGCUAGCCUUUAAUUUAUCGUCAUGCAUGGAAGGAAGGGCCUUCUGAUGGAUAAGUCUUUCUUUUGCAAUAGAACAUGAACAAAUAGAGGCUGUUCUGUUGUCUCUCCUCUCCUUUCUCUCUGUGACUAUCCUCAGUUUCCCAUGAGCAAGGAUUUAAUAUUAUUCUUCUAAAAUCCCACUUUGCUUUAGUAUCUGAAGAGCCCAUGAAUAUGGCUUCUGCAUCCACCAAUCCUCUAUCACACAAGGCUGGCUGGGACUGAGGACCAUCAUUGGCCACUCCUGCUCUGGCUUUCUAGUAUAAUUCAGGUAAACCCUUGUCUAUGCUGAAAACACAAUUAAGUUCUCAGUAAGCAGAGGGAGAAACAGACAGGGCAUUCAAUAUCUUUAUUGACUCUGAAUGCUUCUGCCAUCUUAAGUAAAUUAAUUUCUUCUGAUGAUUCACCAAGUACCUGGCCAUGUACCAGCUGCUCUGUGGCACACUGACAAUCUAAGAGGACCAGAAUAUGAGUCUUUCAAGGUUAUUCUGAGUUAUCUCUCCUUCUACCCCAUUCUUACCUUUGGUCAACAUAUUCCUCAUGUCCUAUACUGCCCUCAUUUCCCGUCCCUCUCACAUUCCCAGGGUACAGCACAGAUAGGAGACACUGUCUGGCAAGGCACAACAAGCUUUCUGAGUAAGCCUUUAGGAUGGGGAGCCCAAGCAGUCAGGCAGGCAGCAACAGACUAAUCAUUCCCUCUGUUGGUGGGUGAUGGUCACUCUCACCUCCUCUAUAUAGAUAGAUGACCUCCUGGGGCUGAGUUACAGCCACUGAUUUCUGAGAGGCAGUGACCUGUGGCAGUGUGCACUGAGCCAAGUUGAUAUGUCUAUGCUCAUGACAUCUAGCUUCUAUUACUGUGCUCUGGUGGCCCUAGAGCAGUCUAGCUGCAAUAGGUCAACAUUAACAUCCUUGAGCGUUGACUUGAAAUUGGGUUGUAGACUGUGGUUAAUGGUGGAUACAAGGCCAGAGAGGAGGUGUCUGGAGUCUAGUUUGGGAGUCACUGGAGGAUACACAUGUGGCUCUGAUGGAAAAAAAUCCUCCUAUCUUAAACUCUGCGGUCACCUUAGGUACCAAGGGGGAGGGUCUGAAGAGCCCUAGGAGGCUACAGUGAGCAGCUUGCAGCUUCAAAUAGUGAGGAAGUAUGGUGUAGAAAGCUGAAGCCAGAAAUUGCCACACAGUAUUAAGUUUAUGACAUAAAAGCAGCCCCGAUUCCUUCUUAAUUAUGACUAGAACAGGAGCUACACUAGCCAGUCUGUCUGGGAUUCUUUGAUUUGUUUUGCAUUUUCUUCUCCUGUUUCAACUGCUUUCAACACCCUUUUAUUCUGUUCCUGGGGGGUGGUGGGGUGGAGUUCACCAGGAUAGCAAUGUCAAGAGCAAGCCUAGGAGAGAUUCUGGAACUGCCCUUCGCGGUGCCCUUUGCAUCAGGUGGGGCUGGAAUCUACCGUUGUGCCCACGUCCAAUGAAUUUU
RNAcentral lists this long non-coding RNA (2080 nucleotides) under Mus musculus (house mouse). Its description in RNAcentral is "long non-coding RNA chr5:26938219-26940299". The record is from RNAcentral. Lineage: Eukaryota; Metazoa; Chordata; Mammalia; Rodentia; Muridae.